Molecule: unclassified non-coding RNA, 95 nt
Organism: Dasypus novemcinctus (nine-banded armadillo)
Lineage: Eukaryota; Metazoa; Chordata; Mammalia; Cingulata; Dasypodidae
Source: Ensembl
CUGAGAGCCUCCCUCUUCUGGUGCAAGUUCACUCACAUGGAAGAUCUAGUGACCUCUUUAAAACACUGUUCAAAAACAUCCUUUGCAAUUCAGCC